UAGCUAAUUAAUUUAAAAUAAAAUAUUUACCUUGAAAGUAAAAAAUAGAAAGUCUAUUAGCU
This 62-nucleotide transfer RNA is filed under the name Anoeconeossa unicornuta. RNAcentral describes it as "tRNA-Ser". The record is from RNAcentral. Lineage: Eukaryota; Metazoa; Arthropoda; Insecta; Hemiptera; Aphalaridae.